AUGAACGCUGGCGGCGUGCCUAAUACAUGCAAGUCGAGCGAACAGACGAGGAGCUUGCUCCUCUGACGUUAGCGGCGGCCGGGGGAGUAACACGUGGAUAACCUACCUAUAAGACUGGGAUAACAUCGGGAAACCGGAGCUAAUACCGGAUAAUAUAUUGAACCGCAUGGGUCGAUAGUGAAAGACGGUUUUGCUGUCACUUAUAGCUGGAUCCGCGCCGCAUUAGCUAGUUGGUAAGGUAACGGCUUACCAAGGCAACGAUGCGUAGCCGACCUGAGAGGGUGAUCGGCCACACUGGAACUGAGACACGGUCCAGACUCCUACGGGAGGCAGCAGUAGGGAAUCUUCCGCAAUGGGCGAAAGCCUGACGGAGCAACGCCGCGUGAGUGAUGAAGGUCUUCGGAUCGUAAAACUCUGUUAUUAGGGAAGAACAAAUGUGUAAGUAACUAUGCACGUCUUGACGGUACCUAAUCAGAAAGCCACGGCUAACUACGUG
This 496-nucleotide ribosomal RNA is filed under the name uncultured bacterium. Its description in RNAcentral is "partial 16S ribosomal RNA". It matches the Rfam family "Bacterial small subunit ribosomal RNA", at positions 29 to 507 of the family's 1533-position model. The record is from RNAcentral.